RNA transcript from Gordionus sp. m RMFG-2023, 1448 nucleotides. It is a transcript of the gene named tetratricopeptide repeat protein 19 homolog, mitochondrial-like, with no coding region annotated. NCBI's taxonomy places the organism in Eukaryota, Metazoa, Nematomorpha, Gordioida, Chordodea, Parachordodidae. The transcript has 8 exons. The record is from RefSeq and is a predicted model, not a curated record.
AUAAACCGCAAAAAUUAAAUCUUAAAAUGAUUCAAUUUACUCUGAAUAACAUAGUUAUAUAUAAUGCUAUGUUUUUAAGACAUGAUAAAAAUAAUAAAACUAAUGAUAUGAUUGAUUUGAUUAAAAAAGGUAUAUAUAAACAAAGGCUAAAGAAAUAUAAUGAAGCAGAAGACAUAUUACAUAUGGCUCUUGAAAUUGCUAUAAAUAACAAUGAUGAGAAAACUAUAACAUAUAUAUAUGAUAUACUUGCAAAUAAUUCAUUUGAAUCAAAGGAUUUUAAUAAGGCUGAAGUAUUAUUCAAAGAAGUUUUGAAAAGAAUUUCCAUGAUGGAAAACAACUCGCAUGAUACUAAUGCUUUCGUAGAUGUAUCUCUAAAAUUGGCUGAUAUCUACUUUUAUAAAGGGGAUUACACCAAAGCUGAAACUGGAUACAAAUUUUGCAUUGGGCAAUUAACAACUAUAUUGAGCAAAGAAAGCCUGGUUGUAAUAAGCAAUAACACUAGUAGCCAAGACGAAAUUUUAAAUCACGACACCAUCCAAUUAUUAGGAAUGUGUUAUCAUCAUUAUUCGAAAUUUAUUUUAGAACAUUAUAAUAGUUUUGAUUAUACAACGAAAGCUAUCGAAUAUCUUUUGAAGUCUAUCGAAAUCGCUAACAGUGUCAUACAAUCUCAUAUAGACUUUUCUUCUUAUCACAAUGACAAAAUCGAUAAUUUAUUAUAUAAAACAGACUAUUUCAAUAUAGAUAACAAAAACGUUUUUAACCCGUUGGUAUAUACCCUUCAUAAUGAUUUAGCAUACGCUUACGAAAAAAUUAAUAAUAUGGAUGUUGCCAUGCAUGAACUUGAAUAUGCCAUUAGCGGGAUCAAAGAUAUCCGACAUAUUUACUCAGAGAGAUUGAAUCAAUGUAUUAAAUCUUAUGAAAAACAACGACUUAGUGCUUUUAUUUUAGAAAUGGACGAACAUCUUGUUACUUUUUACAUGAUAUCCAACCCUCUCCUGGCCUGGAUAUUGGGCUGAUUAAUAUUUCUCGCUAACUUACUGUUGGAUCUCAUUUAUGGUAACCGCGAAAAUUGCGCGAUAUCGCUUUCCAUUACUACGCAUAAAUAAAUGCAAAACCAAGCAAAUAAAGGGGUGGAUUUAUGGUAGUUUUAGCGAUGUGAAGAGGCGAAAUGCUCCUAUAAAUAAGCUGUUAUCGCUUAGUGAUACUACUAGCUCUUCUAAGUUUCGUCGCGGUUGCUGUAAACCGGCUCCUAAUCUUUAAUGCAAUUAUGGUUAAAGUUUAGCGCCAAAUUCCCUAAUAAAUUUAUCAUUCGAUCCAUAAAUAUAAAAGAAAUCUAGGAAUGAUUUUCUUAAACAAAUCGAUGCCUCUUGAAUCUGAGAAGAAAUGCUCAUUGGCACUUAAACUAGCUACUAUUCUAAAAAACGGAGACCUAAAACAUAGAUCCCAAC